This 406-nucleotide ribosomal RNA is filed under the name uncultured bacterium. RNAcentral's name for it is "partial 16S ribosomal RNA". It matches the Rfam family "Bacterial small subunit ribosomal RNA", at positions 30 to 526 of the family's 1533-position model. The record is from RNAcentral.
AUUGAACGCUGGCGGCAGGCCUAACACAUGCAAGUCGAGCGAGUGGCGGACGGGUGAGUAAUGUCUGGGAAACUGCCUGAUGGAGGGGGAUAACUACUGGAAACGGUAGCUAAUACCGCAUACCAUCAGAUGUGCCCAGAUGGGAUGAGCGAGUAGGUGGGGUAACGGCUCACCUCGGCGACGAUCCCUAGCUGGUCUGAGAGGAUGACCAGCCACGCUGAAACUGAGACACAGUCCAGACUCCUACGGUAGGCAGCAUGGGGGAAUAUUGCACAAUGGGCGCAAGCCUGAUGCAGCCAUGCCGCGUGUGUGAAGAAGGCCUUCGGGUUGUAAAGCACUUUCAGCGGGGAGGGGUUACCCGCAGAAGAGGCACCGGCUAACUCCGUGCCAGCAACCGCGGUAAUUC